This 523-nucleotide ribosomal RNA is filed under the name swine manure pit bacterium PPC105. Its description in RNAcentral is "bacterial SSU rRNA". It matches the Rfam family "Bacterial small subunit ribosomal RNA", at positions 7 to 501 of the family's 1533-position model. The record is from RNAcentral.
GAGAGUUUGAUUCUGGCUCAGGACGAACGCUGGCGGCGUGCCUAAUACAUGCAAGUCGAACGCUUUUUCUUUCACCGGAGCUUGCUCCAUCGGAAGAAAAAGAGUGGCGGACGGGUGAGUAACACGUGGGUAACUUGCCCAUCAGAGGGGGAUAACACUUGGAAACAGGUGCUAAUACCGCAUAACUCCAGUGACCGCAUGGUCAAGGGAUAAAAGACGCUUUCGGGUGUCACUGAUGGAUGGGCCCGCGCUGCAUUAGCUAGUUGGUGGGGUAAAGGCUCACCAAGGCCAUGAUGCAUAGCCGACCUGAGAGGGUGAUCGGCCACACUGGGACUGAGACACGGCCCAGACUCCUACGGGAGGCAGCAGUAGGGAAUCUUCGGCAAUGGACGAAAGUCUGACCGAGCAACGCCGCGUGAGUGAAGAAGGUUUUCGGAUCGUAAAACUCUGUUGUUAGAGAAGAAUCAGCGGGAAAGUAACUGUUCCCGCCCUGACGGUAUCUAACCAGAAAGCCACGGCUAAC